GGUUGUUGGUGAGGUAAAAGCUCACCAAGCCUGCGAUCUGUAGCUGGUCUGAGAGGACGACCAGCCACACUGGAACUGAGACACGGUCCAGACUCCUACGGGAGGCAGCAGUGGGGAAUUUUGGACAAUGGACGCAAGUCUGAUCCAGCAAUGCCGCGUGCAGGACGAAGGCCUUCGG
RNAcentral lists this ribosomal RNA (178 nucleotides) under Aeromonas salmonicida subsp. salmonicida 01-B526. Its description in RNAcentral is "partial 16S ribosomal RNA". It matches the Rfam family "Bacterial small subunit ribosomal RNA", at positions 244 to 421 of the family's 1533-position model. Lineage: Bacteria; Pseudomonadati; Pseudomonadota; Gammaproteobacteria; Aeromonadales; Aeromonadaceae. The record is from RNAcentral.